RNAcentral lists this ribosomal RNA (253 nucleotides) under uncultured bacterium. Its description in RNAcentral is "partial 16S ribosomal RNA". It matches the Rfam family "Bacterial small subunit ribosomal RNA", at positions 524 to 776 of the family's 1533-position model. The record is from RNAcentral.
UACGUAGGGUGCAAGCGUUAAUCGGAAUUACUGGGCGUAAAGCGUGCGCAGGCGGUUAUGCAAGACAGAGGUGAAAUCCCCGGGCUUAACCUGGGAACUGCGUUUGUGACUGCAUCGCUGGAGUGCGGCAGAGGGGGAUGGAAUUCCGCGUGUAGCAGUGAAAUGCGUAGAUAUGCGGAGGAACACCGAUGGCGAAGGCAAUCCCCUGGGCCUGCACUGACGCUCAUGCACGAAAGCGUGGGGAGCAAACAGG